Molecule: RNase P RNA, 416 nt
Filed under: bacterium 1xD42-67
Lineage: Bacteria
Description: Bacterial RNase P class A
Rfam family: Bacterial RNase P class A
About the family: Ribonuclease P (RNase P) is a ubiquitous endoribonuclease, found in archaea, bacteria and eukarya as well as chloroplasts and mitochondria.
Source: Rfam by way of RNAcentral
GCAGUGAGCUGGACAGCCGCGCGGGCGGGGCGAAAGGCCCGCCUGUGAGGAAAGUCCGGGCUCCGCAGGGCAAGGAUAACGGGUAACACCCGCCGGGGGCGACCCUAGGACAAGUGCAACAGAGAUAUACCGCCGCGCCCCCCACAUGGAGGAGAAGCGCAAAACGGGUUGGCUCCCGAUGCAACUGUGGAGCUUCGUUUUGGCGGCGCGGUAAGGGUGGAAAGGCGAGGUAAGAGCUCACCCGAUGGCGUGUGAAAGCGCCCAUCGCUGUAAACUCUAUCCGGAGCAACGCCGUGGAGGGACAUACAGGCCGGCCCGGCCGUCCCGGGGAGGCGGCUAGAGCGCGUCAGCAAUGGCGCGUCGAGAUAGAUGGCUGUCUUAAAAGACAGGACCCGGCUUACAGGCUCACUGCACUA